UGCCAGCAGCCGCGGUAAUACGUAGGGGGCAAGCGUUGUUCGGAAUUACUGGGCGUAAAGCGUGCGUAGGCGGAUCGACAAGUUGGGGGUGAAAUCCCGGGGCUUAACCCCGGAACUGCCCUCAAAACUGUCGAUCUAGAGACCGGGAGAGGUAAGCGGAAUUCCUAGUGUAGAGGUGAAAUUCGUAGAUAUUCGGAGGAACACCAGUGGCGAAGGCGGCUUUCUGGACCAAUACUGACGCUGAGAUGCGAAAGCGUGGGGAGCGAACAGGAUUAGAUA
Molecule: ribosomal RNA, 279 nt
Filed under: uncultured bacterium
Lineage: Bacteria
Description: partial 16S ribosomal RNA
Rfam family: Bacterial small subunit ribosomal RNA
Source: RNAcentral